GGGUUGUGAGGUUAAGCGACUAAGCGUACACGGUGGAUGCCCUGGCAGUCAGAGGCGAUGAAGGACGUGCUAAUCUGCGAUAAGCGUCGGUAAGGUGAUAUGAACCGUUAUAACCGGCGAUUUCCGAAUGGGGAAACCCAGUGUGUUUCGACACACUAUCAUUAACUGAAUCCAUAGGUUAAUGAGGCGAACCGGGGGAACUGAAACAUCUAAGUACCCCGAGGAAAAGAAAUCAACCGAGAUUCCCCCAGUAGCGGCGAGCGAACGGGGAGCAGCCCAGAG
Molecule: ribosomal RNA, 282 nt
Filed under: Escherichia coli
Lineage: Bacteria; Pseudomonadati; Pseudomonadota; Gammaproteobacteria; Enterobacterales; Enterobacteriaceae
Description: partial 23S ribosomal RNA
Rfam family: Bacterial large subunit ribosomal RNA
Source: RNAcentral